GUGCUGUAUGAAAGGAGAGAAGGUUAGCACUCCCUUGACAAUGGAAGAGGCCCUUGGGCCUGACAACAUACAUACAGUUAAGAAAUUGCCACCAACUUCGUGGCAUCUAACCAUCAUUUUAC
Small nuclear RNA from Cynocephalus volans (Philippine flying lemur), 122 nucleotides. Lineage: Eukaryota; Metazoa; Chordata; Mammalia; Dermoptera; Cynocephalidae. The record is from RefSeq and is a predicted model, not a curated record.